GGCUUACACAAAAUCUAUUCAAAGAAUACAAGGAAUUUUUAAUUGAAGUCUCUGAGGCGCCACAUUGCAUGUUGUCUUUUCUCAUUUCAAUAACUGUAAAAAAUAUAUAUCGGAAGAGCCACGUC
Molecule: long non-coding RNA, 125 nt
Organism: Neodiprion virginianus
Lineage: Eukaryota; Metazoa; Arthropoda; Insecta; Hymenoptera; Diprionidae
Exons: 3
Source: RefSeq, a predicted model, not a curated record